Long non-coding RNA from Syngnathus typhle (broad-nosed pipefish), 5488 nucleotides. RefSeq lists it as uncharacterized. The record is from RefSeq and is a predicted model, not a curated record. The transcript is spliced from 3 exons. Lineage: Eukaryota; Metazoa; Chordata; Actinopteri; Syngnathiformes; Syngnathidae.
UCGACGGCUCGAACCGCAACACUUGGAAAUAGCGGCGCUGAUGAAGUCGAUGAUUGCGAGGAAAUACUGUAAACGCGGUGCUUGAGGAAAACAACUCCAAUGAAAAGUCAGGAAAAGGACGAUGAACACAACAAUGACGUCAUGUGGACCCAAACCGCUGCAGUCGGAUAUAUUGGCCAACAACGAUCCGAGGAGAUUCUAAUACCUCCCCAACAACGCCAUUCCCCCCCUGGACCCCCGGCAGGCCUCCGACGACCGUCUGUUUGAGAAGUCAACAAAUGACGGCGAAAGGACACGAACACACUCAUUGAGGACGGGGAACACUUAUUAUUCCAUUUAUCGACCGUCAUUUCACAUUUACAUGAUGGUUACGUUAUUCGCCGGUGAUCGAUGCGUCCCGGCGCUUCAGUUUCUAAAGCUGUGACUGACAGUGACGAAUGGAGGUACGAGUGUAAGCAAAGGGGGAAAAAAAAUGGAAUUUUAAUUCAAGACUGACAAGCGAGAGAAAUAAUCAGUCUUGAAGGCCGAGGGCUAAUCAAAAAACAGUUCUUCUCAAACUCAUUACAGGAAAUAUCGCCAUCGUGGCAAAUGUAGAAAUAGAGCAGGUCUAAGAAUUCAUCGCAAAGGUCAAGUGUUUUAUUCGUACUCAGGAUCGGAACCGUCGUUAUUGGCCCAAUGGAAAAAAAUAUGAGCAUGUGAAUCCAUGGAUGCCGAACCGUAGUGGUCGACUGUAGUUUUAAGUUGCGAUAUCACAAGUGACCACUAGAUGGCAGACAUGAGUUGCACUCACGCUGCAUCUUGGCGCCCUUUUUGUAUCAUGACUACGAGUCACCUGCCAUCCCCCCCCCGGUGACAUCCUUGGCCCGCUUCUGCUCUUCCGCCCGACUGCCCGCAUGCACCUUCUUCUUGUUUAUUAAAAAUACAAGCCGGAGCAACCCCUGUGCAUAUGUCGGCUUGCCAUGAAAAGGUGCCGCAUGAAUAUGCAAUUACGGCCAUGAAUUAGUAAAAGGCCAGUAGCCGCCGCCCCCUUAGCAAAUGUUCGGAAAAAAACAUAGCCAAAAGGGGGAGGGCCGCUCCGAGUCACCGGCCAAUCAACGUAAAAUUCCUCGUAGGCCUCGUUAAUGAUUCGUCCGGUGUGGACGCGAGGCGGCAGAAGUGAAUUUCCCCUCGGCUGCCUUGUGUUGAGGGUCAAGGUUGAUAACGGCCAACAAUUCAAUUUCACAGCGGCUGCCUUGAGCAGAGGCUGUUUGAUCUUGCGCGGGACCCUUUGGAACAGCCCUCUCUGCAUAUCCGCAAGCACGUGAACUUAAUCAAACUUUAAUUAGCCCUCUGCCUGGGCCAUAAUUGGCAGUUAAGGCAAGGCCGAGAACCUGCUUCUGCGCAAGACGUGGCCUCAAAGAGUCUCGGCGCUUCGAGAACGCAGUUGGACACGAUCGCCACGGGGAACUUGACAAGGCCCUCGGCCCCCGCUAUCCUAAUCAAUUGGAAUUUAUCAGGGAACCUUUUAUUUCCACAACCAACACGGCAUUUGUGUAAACAGAGGCGGGCGGGCCCAUCACACGAUAAAUUCAUGAAGCCAUUAUAAAUCAAGUCACAAGCCACUAAAUAGCCACAUGGAACUUCAGUGAUGAGUAAACGCAAGCAGGACUGUGCGGCAGGGCUCACCAACACAAUUUGUCCAAGGGGCAGAAUUUUGUGGACCACGUGAUAUUUUCUCUUUGAUCCACAUAAUUAUAAAAUCCAGUCACGGGCCGGAAUGUGCGAUUCGGCAGGUCGAAUUCGGCCCGCGGGCCGCCGGUUGAUCACCACAAGAUGGGAAGGUUCCAAGCGGUAAACAGUAAUACAAAAGGUUUAUGAUCCGAGCCUUUCUGACCCGAUGUGGGGAAAUCCAUGGCAAGCCAAUCUUUUUGUAGGCGCUAUGAUCUCCUGAAUCGAAUGCCCUGAGAAAUGAAAUCAAUGGCCUUACUCACUCCCCGGCCAAAUCAAUCUGGCCAGAUUGUGGUGUGUGGACCCCCUCCGACUAGUCGGGUCAAUAGAGUUAAUGUGAAAAGUGUGCGGGGAGAGACCCCCGCCAACCCCCUUCGCACCACCGCCACUAAAGAACAAGACUAUUUCGAAAGAAUUCAGCGGUGAGCAAUCAGGGAAUGAAGCCUCGACUUUGAUUGACAAACGACAUGCGAUCGGGUGUGAAACCGUUUUUGUCCAGUCUCUUUAUAUCAUUAUUAGUCGUAACUAUAUUAGCCAUAAAUCCGAUUUCAAAAUGGCAUCAGCGUUUUCCCAUCAUCUGAUUGGUUGGCAGGAUUAAAAAUGUUUCCGCGGAUUUUGAUAGACAAAUAACAUUGGUAUCAAUCUCUACAAAUUAAGAGUUGACUCAUUCAAUACUAAGAACGACUUAAAUCGCUCAUUAGAAUCAAUAGGUAUCGUUUCUGUAUUGUAUCCUGGAAUCUAUCGUAUUCUAUGGCACCCGCGCUGCCACAUUUGACUUUUCCUGCAGGAUUAUGCUUGAAUUUGAUCUGAACAAGUUUAUUCAGCUUUGGCUGUGUCUGAUACCGCCUCGCCGGUGUUAAGAAGGCUCAAGCGUUCCCUCCCUACGCUUUUUUUUGGCUUAUCCGCCCCCCCCUCACUUACAUUCAUCCAUUCUUCAGUUGUCACACGGAGACACUGAACGCACAAUCGCAGGCAAAUCCACACCAUCCACUCCAAGUAAGCCAUCUUACGUUCCUCGUUACAAACGCUUAGGAAAGUCUUCAUUCAAAGACACGCUCUUUUGACUGACGGCGAGUUCAUUUCACCGUUUAACUUUAGCUCGCGCUAAGUGAUGGCAAAAUGAGGGCAAACUUAGAAGACUUUGAAAGGCUGUCAUCGAUUGUCGGCGUGGCGCCAGGCCGGCCCCCGAGCUGUCGCGGCGUAUCGCUCCGGUAAGCGUUUGCGAACGAUCCUACGUGCCCGAACAGAGCUGUCUGGAAAUCCCGCCGCCCGAGCACAACAAAGCUACUUUUCAAGGGCAGAGCAUUAGGAUUCAAGGAUAGCGCUCGGCCGGACUCAUCACCCCCGCUGGGCGGCUAAAAAGUAAUCAUAAAAAUAAGGGGCUUCGCUUUGAAGAGCACGCCUCGCCAACUCGUCGAUCCACGGUAUUGACCCUUCCUACUUUUAUUUGACAAUGUUCCCGUUCUGGGCUUAAAUGACUGCGAGCUCAUUGUUAUGCUAGCCGCGGCGCAGCGGGCUGUCGUUAGUGCUGAUGCCGAGAAUUUCCGCAUUGAUUCCACCGCUGGGAUUUACUGCGAUGCAAAUGUGUUUGCGUGAUGGAGAGAAGAAUAGGAACACCUCGUGGUGUCAAAAAGUAUUUGCGCCCGCACACACACAAACACACACAUCGUUUAUUGCCGAGCACAUAUACGCAAGCGCGGCUUUUGACGGGGCCCCGCCGCCGACGUAAACGAGCAAAGCUACCCGCGUUUCCACAAAGUCUAUCAAUUACGGCAUCUCGGCGGAUCGGGCUCCCACGCGCUCGCUCUUAAAAAACAUCGACAACUUGCGCCCGCCGUACGCGUGAGAACCGGCUUCCCCUUGAAGAAAGCUCCGGAAAAGCCAACAUGAGUAGAAACAACUCGGGCCGCAGAGAGAGAUUAGCAUGCGGCGGAGGAUAAUUCCCCAGUUUUGUAAUUACCAUGCAGAUUACGCCGCGAUCGGUCAUUGGAGAUUGAUCUUCACCGAGACGUCCUCGUUUAUUGAUGAGGCGACCGUACUGUUGCGUUGCGGUUUUUGCUUUGGAAGUAAAAUCAAAUGUUGAUUGCGCGUAUGUCAGCGACGGGCGCAUCUAUUCCUCGCCCGGGAAAAAAAAAUAAAACGCAGCGGAAAAUCAACGACGUGAUGAAGCAUUUGUCAGGAGGGAGUCAUUGGUGAAAAAUUCAAACUCCAUCCGCAUAUUAUUCUUCCCAAACAAAAGUUGGGCACCGCUGGAAAUAUGCAAAGCAGAGUUACCGCGUAGAUGUUCCAUCGCUCUUUCCUUCAAAGGGGGGACGAGAUUUUGUAUUGAACUGUCUGCAGAAUUUCAAUCCGGUAGAAGAACUGCAUUACCACACCGCGAGUGUUAGCACGGUUCCCCGAGCGCGUUAUAUAACUAAAACAAUUCCACGUUUUCGACACAAACCACUGCAGGUGUUCUUUGCAUUUGUGUAGGCCACAAAAGGGCGCGUGGGCUUAGUCGGCGGCGCGUCGGCUGUAUCGGCAUGCACAUGUGCUGAGUGAGUCUGAUAAACCCAAUGUGAGGUCACCUUGCUAGAUGAUUAAAGGCUGCUUACGAAAAGAAAAAAAAAAAUCAGUUUGCGGUGGAAAAAGAACAAUGCUAGAUGCUUUAUCAGACGCAGCCAGAACGCAACGCUUGAGAUGAGGCUUAUUUAUGGAGGUCCUAUAGGUGAAAUGCCUUCCGAAGAUAAGAUUAAGAUCACGCUCGGAAAUCCCUACCACGGCAGGGGGGGGCUUUUAAAAGAAAGCAGUUGGAGCUCUGCAGCUUAAGUUUCGAAUUCGUCACACCUUUUCUCUGUAAACAGCAAAAACGGAGGCAAAUGAAACAAACGUGGAAUACGAACAGAGCCCUGCUGCAUCCCUCAAAUGUUGGUGGUUGCCCUCAAUUGUACUGAGCUACGAAAGGGACAGGCAAAGAAUCCAGCCUCCGGAAUGUUCUCACAGGUUAGCGACUGCGUGGCGCUGACGACCCACAAGGACUCCAUCGAUUCUCCUUGGCCUGAACGCGGGAAAAAUACCUCUGUGAACGCGUACGGCGCAUCGGUGAUGCUUAAGAAACACACCAUCUGUCAUUAUUUUGAAUCCAUCCCACCGGAGUUGAAGAUUGAGCUCGAUCUUGCGUGUAGCGAGUGCUUACGCGAGUAUUACGCACGAUUAAACAAGACAUUGUCGCAACAGCAAUUAACGCCACGCACAGAAACGACGGCACGGGAACAGAAAACAUUUUUGAUAUGAUAGCUGCAAUUUACAAGCUUACCGUGGCAUGCAAUCAAAUUGUUGACAAUACGAAAAGUCAAAGGUCACGGGAUAGUGGCCAAAGUCAUCAAUAGACAACAAACACCGAAUGGAUGUCGUCAAAGUUGUCUAUCCGGACGUUGCGGGACUGCUCGAAUGACAUCCAAUAGUUGGACCUUUAUUGGCGUCAAAUUUCCGAGCCUUUAACUCCUUCACUACCAUUGACGAGAAUAGAUGUCAAACAUCACUUUGUGCUGGGCUGCCAUUGACGAGAAUUUACAUCAAACAUAACUUUGUACUGCGCUGGUAGUGAAUAAGUUAAGUGCACCCUAAAUUGAAAGCACUUGCCGCGUACAAAAAGAUUAUCAUCACGAGCUCAUCCCUGCCCUUCAUUUUACAGUAAUUGGCCAUCUCCAUAAAAAAAGGCAUUUACACCAUUCAAAGCCAAAUAAAACGACUUUCCUGGAUCCACCGGGUGAUUCAAUUGACAAGAGUGUUUUUUUUUUAA